GCACUGCUAAGGAAUCCCAUAAUAGGACGAAACGGCCGUCCAGUGU
This is a non-coding RNA of Schistosoma mansoni, 46 nucleotides long. The record is from Rfam. Lineage: Eukaryota; Metazoa; Platyhelminthes; Trematoda; Strigeidida; Schistosomatidae.